UUUUUUUUUUUAAUAACAAACAACAGAAGAUGACAGGAAACAGAAUGAGCUGCAAGGAGGAGUCCAAAUAUAUUUAUCAGAACUGAGAUUGAUGUAUCAAUAAAGACGGCAGAGUUCCUAAUAAUGCCAGAAAUUAUGGGAAUAAAAUAAUCAAAUUUCCUCAACAUUCUAACAAGGUCAAUAAAACGGAAAAAAGAGGAGUUUGUGUCAUGGCGCAGUGGAAACAAAUCCGACUAGGAAGCAUAAGGUUUCGGGUUCGAUCCCUGGCCUCCUCGCUUAGUGGGUUAAGGACCCAGCGUUGCCGUGAGCUGUGGUAUAGGUUGCAGACUCGGCUCAGGAUCCCGUGUUGCUGCGGCAACAACAGCUCCGAUUAGACCCCUAGCCUGGGAACCUCCACAUGUCGUGGGUGUGGCCCUAAAAAGAAAAAAAAAAGAGAGAGAGAGAGAAAGAGAAUAAAUCAAAUGGUUGCUUUGCCUUUGCAAUACAAAUUGUUUCCUAGAUUUUAGAAAUAAUCCAUAAAAGCACAUCUUUAAGAAUGAAUGCUAGGUAAUAAAUAUAGAGGGAUGAUAGGAUUGGAGAAUAAACCUUUUGCAACCCUAAUGAAACAAUAAAUCUAGGCAACAACCAUCAAUGGCUGACGAAACAAUUAGAUGAAGGGCUGUGGGGAAAUUAUAAUGGUAGAUCAGCCAACAACAUCAGAAGCCACCAAUCAAUCUUAUCAAGACAAGAGAUAACCAGACUUGAGUUUUCAGAUGUGAUUCAAUAAGAAAUACAUAGUACUAGCAAUGAGAUGUUCUUGCUACAAAAGCAAACAUGAGUCUGAUCGAGCUUCUAGACCUACCUGCUCUUUCAUGGAAAAUCCAGGGAAUCAGAGGACCAUGGUAAAUGACACAUCCUAGAACGCAAUUAGCUAAAACUAGGAUGUAGGAAAUUCUAAAAACAAGGUACCUAUUGUCUUCAACAAGUUAAUGGCAAGGGAAGAAAUAAACAGGAAGAAAGAACUAUGACUAAAGAGUCUCACUGUGCACUUUUUUAUAUAUGUCUUCAUGUGAACCUUAUUUGGGACCUGACUCAAAUAAUGCCAACAGUAAACAGCCAUUUAUGAGAAAUCAGGAAAAUGUGGAUCCUGAAUGGGUAUUUAAUAAUAUUAAGACAUGACUGUUAAUUUUGAGGGCUGUGAUGAGGUUAUAAAAAUAGUCCUUACUUUUUUCAAAACAUAUGCUGAAUUUUAGCAGAUAAAAUAAAAGACUGAGGUUUGCGUCAGCAUGAUCCAUGGUGGAAGAACGUAAAGAUUACGGCUGAAAUAAAACUGGCCAUAUGUUGGUAAUUGUCGAAACGGGUUGCUGUUUCUUUACAGUAUUCUCUCUUCUGCUUUUAUUUUAAAUUUUCCAUAACGAAUGAUCAAGAGAGAUUACCUAAUAAGUUUAGAGAGAACUUGCUAUCUCUGUAACAUAAAAUGAAUUUUCAAGGCAUGGUGAGGCGUGAGAUGCAGCAUGGCAAUAACUAGUUGCAUCCCAAACCUAGAAAUCUAGACAGAGGCUCAUGCACGAUGUGGCUGGAAGAGCAACACACUGCUUUCAAGCUCCUCUUAUCUCCGCUACCCCGGCUGGUUCUGGUCUCAUGAAAACCUUCUCCACUUUCAUUUGCCAGUGUCGCUUUGGUCUCCCCCUCUCAUAUACCUCUAUCUCCUGACUCUCACACUGGUCUUCCUUUUGACAGGAAUAUUUGGAAUAUUUGGAAUCCCCAGGUCACACUGCACCUUUGGAUGGUCAUCGCCUGGACCCACCUGGCCCGCAUCAAUAUCGCUCACCUAUGAGAUCCUCAAAUUUAACCUGCCUACCCAGAGUCAGCAUUGCUUACAUUUUUUCUUAACCCUACUAUUUGCCUAAUUCUGUAUUCCUGCCCGCUAAUCUUUAUCCCUUAUGAUUUUCAGGGGUCACCUUUUUUCUCAGAUCUGUUAACUACACAUCCUCUCACCCAUAUGACCUUUUUGAGACAUGGAGCAGACGCCCAGACAGCUUCUACCUUUCGGAACAAAAAAGCAAAUAAAAAGGCAAGACUUGAUAAUCACCUCUCUUACUUGCCUCACAGCUGAAAACCUGCCACUUAUGCCAGGGUUGGGAGGAAAGAGGCAGCCACUCUUCCUGCCACAGACUCGCGACCUGCUAUCACUCACAACCCUGCACGAUGCUAUGAAACGAAAACAAGAUUUCCAUAGCAACCACCUUGCUGCCAUCCGGACUUGAGGGAAGCUCUGGGAAACAUUUGUUGGUGGUGGUUAUAAUGAUUCACCACAAACUUGGCUGCGUUUCCCCAGGGCCCACCCUCGCUCAGUUCUUCUCCGCAGAGUUUCCAAUAACUUCAAGGGGAUCAGUACAAAGAAAAAGAUACCUCCCAAUAAUCUGGCCUGUUUUUUCAAGAAUGCUUAUUUUAGCAUGACUGGAGAUGCAAUUUAAUUGAAGUCUUUUUUGGGGGGUGGCGGGGGGAGGCAGCAGGGCACCCGUUCUCCUUCUUCAUCUUCAGUAAAGAGCAUGAGGGAGAAAGGGUCACAGUUUGGCAGCUAUGGACAGGCAGGGCUUUCUUUUGUGCAAUCCUCAGAUGAAAAUACUUUUUUAUUUACCAAACACUUGAACGUUGUAUCUAGUUGCAAACAGCCUUUGGGAAACUAGUAAGCCAGACAUCAGGGAUUAGAUCAUAGGGCCUGCAGUACCAUUAAAAAGGGAAUCAUAGAAAAUUGGUUGUUUUGAACAGAGUAUGAUGAAAAUCUGGAGCCCAUACGCCACAUUUCAGAAUUCUUAGGCUGAGACUCAGAUGGGAAUGAAUCCGAAGAGGUUACAAAGAAAACACCUAAAACAUAUUCCUCUGGUUAUAUACUGAGUGGUGUUUAUUCUGGAUAGAAACACUUACAAAACAGGAUUCAUGGGUUACUUUAGGAGAAAUGUUAUGUGACAUUCUAUGUUUUAUAAUUUAUAAGCAUAUAUGUAUACUACAUUUAGGUUUGUCAAAGUCAUAAAAAUGUAAUUAGCAAUCUAAAUAUAUUUCUACUUGCUCUUAAUAUAUACCUUUAAAAAGACAGUAAACCAGAGUUCCCACUGUGGCUCAGCAAGUUAUGAACCCAACUAGCAUCCAUGAGGAUGCUGGUUCAAUCCCUGGCCUCAUUCUGUGGGUUAAGGAUCUGGCAAUAGGUCACAGAAUCAGCUCAGAUCCGGUGUUGCCAUGGCUGUGGCAUAGGGUGUGGCUGCAUCUUUGAUUCAGCCCCUGACCCUGGUACUUCCAUAUGCCACAGGUGAGGCCAUAAAAAGAAAAAAAAAAUUUAAAUAAAAAUAAAGUCCACUUAGAAAUUGUGAUUUGCUGUCAAAGCUUUAGCAUCUACAAUUUUCUCAAUUCUGGAAAAACUGUAUCUCAUGAAAGCUUGGCCAGAAAGUUAGAAAGCAACCUGAGGUGCAUUCUAUACUGACAGUCAAGGGGCUGGGGUUUUAGCUCUGGUUCAACUAUAAACGAACAUAGACUAGACUAGAACAUAGACUAGACUGUAGAUGAACAUAGAACAUAGCAUUUCUGAGCCUCAAUUCUGUUGCAUGUGAGCAAUUUGUGCUUUCUGCUUCCAAAAGGAUUUGCAUGACUUCAUAAAUUAGAAAGGUUGUGAAACUUGAGAAUUCUAGUUUUAAAAAAUUCACAGCAGAAGGCUGACCGUCUAAAAAGAUAAAUGGGAUUAGCUGUUACAGGAUUUCUGAAAGAAACUAAUUGCUAGAUUGGGAUGCUGCAUUUGAUCAAAAGUUUCCUGGUGAAAAUAAUUUUUUAAAAGAAAAACAAAUUCAACAGCAAAAACGACCUGAUUCCUGGAAAUUGACUUAAAUAGGAAUUAAUUCCUCUCCUGACUAUAAUAGAGAAUCUGGCUAACAUUGUAAGAAAUAUGUCAUUUAAUCAAUUACAGCUUUAUAAAUGGCAAAGAAACGGUGCUCUCAUGCAGGUUUCAAUUAUAAGCCCUCUCAAUAAAGACAUUAAAACAUAAAAGGAUACUGGGAUGAGAGACUGUGGCCUAGAAGUAGUGUUCCCUCAUGACUUCACCAAAGAAUAGAAGGAAAAAAAAAAAAAAACUCUUCCUCAAAUAUCAGAUGCCUUAAGAAAACUUUAUGCAAAGCAGCCUUCUGAUCAGCAUAAACUGUUUUCUCUAACGGAUUUGUAUUGCAUCUAGGCUAUAAUGAUAGCUGAGGUUCAAAAUAUAAGCCUUAGAUAUCAGAGAUAAAGGAGGUAAACUAUUUGUUAUGUUGUGGAAAAUGCUUGGUAUUUUGCCUAUAGACAGAAAGCUAAUCUGCUCUGUAUGCAUAGAGAUAUAAACACCACCCCAAAGUGAGCUAAUUAAACAAGGACUUGAAAACUUUCCACACAUCUGCACGUUAACUGUGUAGUACAGAAGAGUACUUGCACAUGUAGCAAUUUAUAGGAGUCCUUUCAUAUUAGGGUUAUAACCCUUCAUUUGAAAUUUCCAUUAUUGUUCUUGCACAAUAUCAUUUGCGUUUUGACUUUGUAUCUGGUGUCUUUUGUCAUCUUAAGCUAUAUUUAUUUUUAUAUGAUGAAUUCUACUUGCCUUUUCCUUUAUGUUGUUAAGUUUCCUAUCUUGCUUUCUGCUGUGCUUCCUGUUUUUUUCACUAUUUCCUUUUAUUGGUUAAGGUUUGGUCCAUCUGGAAUUUACCUGAACAUAUGAUGCAAGGAUGGGAUCUAACUUUGUGUCCUUCCAGACAGGCUGCCAAUUAGAACAGCACCUUAAUUAAAUAAACUUGGACUGGGUUCUAUUUAAAGUGUAAAAAAGGACACACACUACUUGAAAUUUUUUUAUUGAUAUGCAUUCGUGUUAUGCUCCCUAGAAGAAUUUCUGGCCAAUAGAUCUAGGUGCUUCUUGAAACUUAUGCUACUUACAAAAUAAAAUUACAUCACAGAAUCAAAUGACGCUGACUAUCUUUAAGGUUAAUAUAAUCUAAGAUAGACAGAAAUCAUACUUUAUUCAUUCUGUAUCCCACUAUGAUUCACGGAUUACUUUUUAUGUAUUAGGGAUUCAGCAAUACUAUUUAAAUUAGCACCGUGGAAGCAGAGCAUGUAUCUAAUUUAUCCAAGAGAAGUGAGGCUAUUUUCGAAAAGAAAAGAGGCUCAAACGCAACUACAUAUGUUCCCCCAGAAAACUCAUUUUGCAUGUGUGAUAACGUCUCAUAGUUACUGACAGUUGAGCACACUGAUGUGGUUGAUGUUUUUAUGGCUGCGCCCACAGCAUAUGGAAGUUCCUGGGCCAGGGAGCCUUAUUAACCCACUGUGUCCGGCCGGGGACUGAACCUGCGUGCCAGAGCUCCAGAGACCCUGCCCCACAGCAGGAACCCCACGUACUACCUUUUCUGUUGAGAUUGAAAUAAACUUCUAUUUAGUUUCUGCGAGUUGGUUUUGUUUUAUGCAACUGAAACCAAUCCCAACUGAGUCCAUUAAUNAAAAAAAAAAAAAAAAAAAAAAAAAAAAAAAUACAUAAUACAUCAUAAAAUUGCUUAGAAAUAGAAUCGUACAAUUUCUCACCAAUCUGUAAAAUAAAAGCCACAGGACUUUUGUUAUGAUAUAAUUUAUCAUCCAAACUAGGACUCUUGAGAGUGAAAGAG
Molecule: long non-coding RNA, 5636 nt
Filed under: Sus scrofa (pig)
Lineage: Eukaryota; Metazoa; Chordata; Mammalia; Artiodactyla; Suidae
Description: lncRNA (ENSSSCG00030030344.1)
Source: RNAcentral